Mesocricetus auratus (golden hamster) is the source of this 67-nucleotide small nucleolar RNA. Lineage: Eukaryota; Metazoa; Chordata; Mammalia; Rodentia; Cricetidae. The record is from Ensembl.
GGAUUUAUGAUGAGCUGUGAUUACUGAGCAUGAUGAAAUAAAGCUCAAAAUGAUGACUCUGAAGUCU